RNAcentral lists this ribosomal RNA (253 nucleotides) under uncultured Bellilinea sp. Its description in RNAcentral is "partial 16S ribosomal RNA". It matches the Rfam family "Bacterial small subunit ribosomal RNA", at positions 524 to 776 of the family's 1533-position model. The record is from RNAcentral. Lineage: Bacteria; Bacillati; Chloroflexota; Anaerolineae; Anaerolineales; Anaerolineaceae.
GACGUAGGAGCCAAGCGUUAUCCGAAUUCACUGGGCGUAAAGCGCGUGCAGGCGGCCUGGAAAGUUGGAUGUGAAAUCUCUCGGCUCAACUGGGAGAGGCCGUUCAAGACUAUCAGGCUCGAGGGCGACAGAGGGAGGUGGAAUUCCGGGUGUAGUGGUGAAAUGCGUAGAUAUCCGGAGGAACACCAGAGGCGAAGGCGACCUCCUGGGUCGUACCUGACGCUCAGACGCGAAAGCUAGGGGAGCAAACGGG